RNAcentral lists this unclassified non-coding RNA (2154 nucleotides) under Leishmania donovani. Its description in RNAcentral is "gene:LdHU3.27.2910(CDS-product:hypothetical_prote in_conserved)". Lineage: Eukaryota; Euglenozoa; Kinetoplastea; Trypanosomatida; Trypanosomatidae. The record is from RNAcentral.
UGUGGUAGGUGAGCAGCACCCAAACACACUCGCACACACGUAAGCUUCAUAGAGUCAUUAACCUCUGUUCUAUCUUGCCGCGCCUCUUCCACCUUUUCGCUAUCCGAAUUCGGUGGUUUCUGCAUAUCGGCAGCGUUUUUCGCUGUUUCGCGUCCCCGCGGAAGGAAAUAGGGCGGGGGAGAAGGACUUAUCUGCCAGUGCAUCUUAAUGCGCGACACGGCCCCUUUCUUUUGAGGGAAUGGCGCACUUCGGAUCACCUGAGCGAUCAUCCAAUCGAGUUCGCCACGCGGCACGUCCGCGCACCACCCUGCGCGUGCGAAACGUUGCCGCUGGUGUCAUGUACCAUCUCGUUUUUGAAGGCGACUUGCAACGACUGUCGGGCAAGCAGCUGCGCCACCAUCUGGCGCGCAUCAGUCACAUACCACCGACGGAGCAGCAGCUCUUCGUGCAUGGGCAGACGUUUUUGCCAGCUGCCGUGGGCGCUGCUGUUGGGCUGCGUGAUGAGGAUGUUGUCGACCUCGUGCAAACAGCCGAGAAUGUGCAAGAUGACGACGGGCGAGGAGGCUGUGAUGGAAGCGACUCCAUGGCAAGGGCGUCCUCACCGCCUUCGUCAACCGACGCCGGCACGCUUUCGCCCAAAUUGCCGUGGCGGAGCAGGCCGGGAUCCGGGGUCAUCAGCGGCAUGAGGAGAGUGGGUGGCGCCUGCUCCGCGCCUGUAUCGAGGGCGUCCACCGCCUCAGCGUCGACUCGCCGAGCACCGUCGCCUGACCGCCUCGUUAACGCAUCGUCAUUCGCGUCGAGUGGAGUCCGGGGACAAACUACCACAGGCGAUGACAUCGCGUGCAAGCAGCGCACCGAACCACUACGGCAGCAGCGUCAUCCUGCGCCGAACGACAGCAGUCUGCCCCUUUGGACCUCUGCCACAACGUUAUCGUCCCUGCCGUCUGGGAAUUGGCCCAACGGCGGUAGCGGCGACGUGGAAAGCCCGCGGCCCCAAACUCCUGCGCAACGCUCAUCUCGUCGUACGCAAGGCUACGUUAAAGCUGCCUCCCAGCCGUACGCGUAUCCGCAGUCGUCGCCGCAACCGACGGGGCUUCUUGCUCGGCCGUCGGCGUCGCAGUCUGAUCUGCGUCGGCAGUGGUCCUAUGAAGUAGCGUCUCCACCGCCUCUAAUGCCGCAGCGGCCGCACAUCCCACUCGCAUCACCGUCUCCGCUGAACGCGCCACCGUCACUGACUUCACGACCAGGGCCGGCGAAAUACUGUGGAGCGUACGCAGAACCCGCGGCUGGCCUCAACUACUCUCACUACGAUGACCGCCGCACCGUCUUCCGUGACCAAGCCAGUUGCGAUCCGUCGCCAUCGCAGCGCGCGCCGCACCAACAGCAGGUGUAUCGCCCUCUGGCGGUAUCCCCUGGCCCGCAUGACGGAUCAGCGCCACAUGUGUCUGCGCCGGCCGCACGCAGCGCUGUCAUCCGCGCGGAUGAACUGGAGACUAUCCUGGAUGAGCAGAACUACAUAUGGCAGAUGGAGGAGUACCGCUUCCGCACCGAGCGGCAAAAGCGCCUCACCGCACUGCAGCACCGGCAGCACGAGCUGACUCUCGAGUCGGCCCGGUAUGACCAAGCAGUGGCCGAGGUGGAGCGGCAGCUUGCGCGCGAGCGGCAAAGGCUGGAAAAGCUGCAGCAGGUGAUGACACACAACGCCACAACAUCUUGCUCGCUGAUUGACCGUGAGCACGGUUUGCAGGAGCCACCUAUUGCUAUGAGCGACGCGCCGGAUGCGAUCACGAGGAAUUCUCCUGCCAUGCAUCACGGUCGAGCUCGUGAUCACGCCUACAGCGCUCCACACGACGCACCGUACUUCCCCACGGGUGCUUCCGACGGCGUGUCGGCAAUAAACGAGGAGGAGGUUAUAUCGGAGGUCUAAGUGACCUCAUCGCGGGACUUUCUCUCUCUAUUGGUGUGUGUGUCGCUGCGUGAUCGGAUGGGCCUAUGGGUGUGGUAGCUGCAAGGUUCGACGUGCUGCAUCUCUCUGUUCUUAACACACGCUUUUCAUUCUUUAGACCCCUUGCUGAUCUAGAUACCGUUGUUGUGGCAUGUGAGUGGGUGUGCGUGCUGGUCGGCGGUCUCACUCUCCCCACUCCCUUCGGCAGG